GGGGCUUUUACCAGGAAGGGGUGCAGUGAGAUGCUUUACCAUCAUGCAUCCAGAUGCAUUUCCAUCAAGUGUCCUAUGUCUGUGACUCCGUCCAUUGGUUUUCCCUACAGACCAAACCGGACUGAGUUACACCAGUUCUGUCUGUUGGAAUGGGCAAAAAUUCCAGCAAGGUUUAGUGAGAAGAUUGUGGAAGGCUACACCAAGGCAAAUGAUGGCCUCCUUCACUUGCAUUGAGAUCUCCAUGGACUUCAUAUUGGUAGCUCCAGUCAAACAGCUGCCAAAUGCCAACUCAAUACCUGAUAUCAACUCCAGACCUUUUAUCUGCUUCAUUUGUCUUGAAGUAACGAGGGAAUGAACCGCACCUGGACAAUUAACUUCUUGUCAGUCAAUUGUCCAAAUACCUUUGAGCCCCUGAAAAUUGAAGUACUUUGCUUAAAAUGGCUGUAAUUCCUAAAUGGUAAAUGCCAUAUUAUUG
Long non-coding RNA from Pangasianodon hypophthalmus (striped catfish), 475 nucleotides. RefSeq lists it as uncharacterized. The transcript is spliced from 3 exons. Lineage: Eukaryota; Metazoa; Chordata; Actinopteri; Siluriformes; Pangasiidae. The record is from RefSeq and is a predicted model, not a curated record.